AAUGUAUCUGUCCAUGUCUGAAUGUAUUGCAGAAAUUGAAAAGGGGAAGGGGAAGAAAAGAAGGGGAAGAAGAUCAAAGAAGAAAAGAAGAAGGGGAAGAAAAGAAGGGGAAGAAGAUCAAAACCCACCAUGCCCCAGGCUCAACGGCGUGCUGAUGGAAGUGGAAGAGCCUGAAGUCUUACAGGACUCACUGGAUAGAUGUUAUUCGACUCCGUCAAUGUACUUUGAACUACCUGACUCAUUCCAGCACUACAGAAGUGUGUUUUACUCAUUUGAGGAAGAGCACAUCAACUUCGCCCUUUACGUGGACAAUAGGUUUUUUACUUUGACGGUGACAAGUCUCCACCUGGUGUUCCAGAUGGAAGUCAUAUUCCCACAAUAAACAGCCCUUACUAAGCUGAGAGAUGUCAUUCCUGCAGGCAGGACCUAUAGGCACGUGAAGAUUUGAAUGAAAGUACAGUUCCAUUUGGAAGCCCAGACAUAGGAUGGGUCAGUGGGCAUGGCUCUAUUCCUAUUCUCAAACCAUGCCAUUGGCAACCUGUGCUCAGUCUGAAGACAAUGGACCCACGUUAGGUGUGACACAUUCACAUAACUGUGCAGCACAUGCCAGGAGUGAUCAGUCAGACAUUUUAAUUUGAACCACAUAUCUCUGGGUAGCUACAAAAUUCCUCAGGGAUUUCAUUUUGCAGGCAUGUCUCUGAGCUUCUAUACCUGCUCAAUGUCAGUGUCAUCUUUGUGUUUAGCUCAUCCAAAAUUGUUACCCUGGUUUCAAUGAACCUAACCUCAUUCUUUGUGUCUUCAGUGUUGGCUUGUUUUAGCUGAUCCAUCUGUAACACAGGAGGGAUCCUUGGCUGAGGAUUGUAUUUCAGAACCACCAACUGCUCUUGACAAUUGUUAACCCGCUAGGCUCCUUUGGUUAGAGAAGCCACAGUCCUUCAGCCUCCAAUUGGUGUCAGUACUUAGGAAGACCACAGCUAGAUGGACAAACAGCAUUGGGAGGCCUUAGCCCUGCUCCUCUCAAUUCCAUCCUGUAGAGAACAGGAGUCAGGAGCCGCUGGCAGGAGACAGCAUGUCACCCAGGACUCUGCCGGUGCAGAAUAUGAACAAUGCCAUGUUCUUGCAGAAAACGCUUAGCCUGAGUUUCAUAGGAGGUAAUCACCAGACAACUGCAGAAUGUAGAACACUGAGCAGCACAACUGACCUGUCUCCUUCACAUAGUCCAUAUCACCACAAAUCACACAACAAAAAGGAGAAGAGAUAUUUUGGGUUCGAAAAAAGUAAAAAGAUAAUGUAGCUGCAUUUCUUUUUUUUUUUUCUUUUUUUAAAUUUUUAUUUUUUUAUUUUUUAUUGAUCAUUCUUGGGUGUUUCUCGCAGAGGGGGAUUUGGC
RNAcentral lists this long non-coding RNA (1387 nucleotides) under Pan troglodytes (chimpanzee). RNAcentral's name for it is "long non-coding RNA NONPTRT008751". The record is from RNAcentral. Lineage: Eukaryota; Metazoa; Chordata; Mammalia; Primates; Hominidae.